AUGAACGCUGGCGGCGUGCCUAAUACAUGCAAGUCGAGCGAACGGACGAGAAGCUUGCUUUUCUGAUGUUAGCGGCGGACGGGUGAGUAACACGUGGAUAACCUACCUAUAAGACUGGGAUAACUUCGGGAAACCGGAGCUAAUACCGGAUAAUAUUUUGAACCGCAUGGUUCAUAAGUGAAAGACGAUCUUGCUGUCACUUAUAGAUGGAUCCGCGCUGCAUUAGCUAGUUGGUAAGGUAACGGCUUACCAAGGCAACGAUGCAUAGCCGACCUGAGAGGGUGAUCGGCCACACUGGAACUGAGACACGGUCCAGACUCCUACGGGAGGCAGCAGUAGGGAAUCUUCCGCAAUGGGCGAAAGCCUGACGGAGCAACGCCGCGUGAGUGAUGAAGGUCUUCGGAUCGUAAAACUCUGUUAUUAGGGAAGAACAUAUGUGUAAGUAACUGUGCACAUCUUGACGGUACCUAAUCAGAAAGCCACGGCUAACUACGUG
Molecule: ribosomal RNA, 496 nt
Filed under: uncultured bacterium
Lineage: Bacteria
Description: partial 16S ribosomal RNA
Rfam family: Bacterial small subunit ribosomal RNA
Source: RNAcentral